RNAcentral lists this ribosomal RNA (253 nucleotides) under uncultured bacterium. Its description in RNAcentral is "partial 16S ribosomal RNA". It matches the Rfam family "Bacterial small subunit ribosomal RNA", at positions 524 to 776 of the family's 1533-position model. The record is from RNAcentral.
UACGAAGGGGGCGAGCGUUGUUCGGAAUUACUGGGCGUAAAGGGCGCGUAGGCGGCGCGAUAAGUCAGGCGUGAAAGCCCCGGGCUCAACCUGGGAGGUGCGCUUGGGACUCUUGUGCUUGAGUUCGGGAGAGGAGCGUGGAAUUCCCAGUGUAGAGGUGAAAUUCGUAGAUAUUGGGAAGAACACCGGUGGCGAAGGCGGCGCUCUGGACCGAGACUGACGCUGAGGCGCGAAAGCGUGGGGAGCAAACAGG